This 260-nucleotide long non-coding RNA is filed under the name Lathyrus oleraceus (garden pea). RNAcentral describes it as "Pisum sativum (pea) long non-coding RNA (PSAT_LNC021760)". Lineage: Eukaryota; Viridiplantae; Streptophyta; Magnoliopsida; Fabales; Fabaceae. The record is from RNAcentral.
AAUAAAACAUCUUUCCUUAACUUAAACAUAUCAUAGCUUACAGUAUAAAACAUUUAACAACACCUCUUCAUGGUCUCAUAAAAUAGAAUUACUCAAAUCAUACAUCAAUUUGAUAACAACUCAAUAAUCCUCAAAGUAAAAGAAAACUAACGAUCGCAUCUCAUGUGUUACACUAUCAGAACAAAACAAGAUGCAAAAAAAUGCGGAAAACAACAAAGUAAAUGAGAAGGCCUCAACGCCAUUCUCCCACUCAAAAAUAG